This 363-nucleotide ribosomal RNA is filed under the name Triticum aestivum (bread wheat). RNAcentral describes it as "partial small subunit ribosomal RNA". The record is from RNAcentral. Lineage: Eukaryota; Viridiplantae; Streptophyta; Magnoliopsida; Poales; Poaceae.
AUGGCCACGGCCGGCAUACUGCUCUGCCAUCCGCACCCGCACGCCUACGCCGCCAAGCCCCAUGAUGAUGAUCGGCGGCGGUCGUCCUCCUUCUUCGUGGGCCUGUCCAAGCACCUGCGCCUGACGACGCAGGAGUUCAAGGACGAGGUGUACAUGUACGCGUUCUGGAGGCCUGGCAUGGAGCUGGACGUCUCGCACACCCGAAGGAAGGACCUGCCGCCCUAUGUGCUGGAGCAGAUUCUCUCCACUGAUCGUCUCAAGAGGAAGCGCUCCGACGAUGAUUCCGGUAACUCCGAGUCGAGCCCGGUCAAGAGGGCGGCAGCGGCAGGCAGAAUCGAGUCUUCACCAGAGAGCGAGACUUGA